This 484-nucleotide ribosomal RNA is filed under the name uncultured bacterium. RNAcentral's name for it is "partial 16S ribosomal RNA". It matches the Rfam family "Bacterial small subunit ribosomal RNA", at positions 29 to 507 of the family's 1533-position model. The record is from RNAcentral.
AUUGAACGCUGGCGGCAUGCUUUACACAUGCAAGUCGAACGGCAGCGCGGGCUUCGGCCUGGCGGCGAGUGGCGAACGGGUGAGUAAUACAUCGGAACGUGCCCAGUAGUGGGGGAUAGCUCGGCGAAAGCCGGAUUAAUACCGCAUACGCCCUGAGGGGGAAAGCGGGGGAUCUUCGGACCUCGCGCUAUUGGAGCGGCCGAUGGCAGAUUAGCUAGUUGGUGGGGUAAAGGCCUACUAAGGCGACGAUCUGUAGCUGGUCUGAGAGGACGACCAGCCACACUGGGACUGAGACACGGCCCAGACUCCUACGGGAGGCAGCAGUGGGGAAUUUUGGACAAUGGGCGAAAGCCUGAUCCAGCAAUGCCGCGUGUGUGAUGAAGGCCUUCGGGUUGUAAAGCACUUUUGGCGGGAACGAAAAGGACUGUGCCAAUACCACGGUUCGAUGACGGUACCCGCAGAAUAAGCACCGGCUAACUACGUG